GGAAUUUACCCGGGGAGCACUUAGGGACUCUUGUCGCUUUUGUGAGUCGUUUGUAAAAUGCAGUAAGUGUUUCUGUAAAGCGCUCUGAGACUUUACUGCGCUCCGGUCACAUCUGGCCGUCUGAAGGAGAGGCCGUAAAAGCAGCUCUCUUAAUUAGUCGGUAGGUAGAGUGGGAGAGUGACCACCUUCCCGUCUGUCCACGCGCAACCUCCAAGGUCAACGUUUGAAGUCCCCCCCGAGGAGACUUCAGCUCAAAUUUGGACAAAUUAUCAAGACGUUUGAACGAGAAGGACGGAAUUAUGCCGUUCCCACGAGAUCCCGCGCUUGUGGAAAGUAACGCAGCAAUAUGUAGAGGAACUUUAUCUUAUUGGGUCUGUAUUGCAAUUGUCAUUGCACAUCAACACGUUUCAGGUCGAGAAAGACCGUGAAACCCGAGUAGUCCGAGAGGCGAAGGAGUGAGAGGAGAGAGGGAAAAAAAGAAAAGAAUCCCAAAUCAAGUUUUCCUGAAGAGAAAAAAAACCUCGCCGCCAUCUGGACGAGCUUCACCUCCAUAUCAACUGAUCUGUGGACCCACGGCAGAAAGCAGGAGAUCGAUGGAGCCAGAGACAUGUUUGAACUGAAGGCCCAACAACAUGCUCGGCCCGGGCCUCCAGCAGCGCACGAGAUGAGACGAGACCGCCGGGUUCUACACGUCCCACCAGAGAGCUGGCUGCAAGUCGAAAAGCGCCACAGGAGCCAGAUUCAGGAGGCCCCCGAAGGAGCUUUGCCCUGACGGCUCAGCCUCACGAUGGACCAACUGGCAGUGUGUUCUUUUCUAUCAACACGCAGACGGUGAUAACACACGCGCGUGUCCCCUCGGACAGUCCGCGAUCACCCUCGUUACACGG
Long non-coding RNA from Gasterosteus aculeatus aculeatus (three-spined stickleback), 887 nucleotides. The record is from Ensembl. Lineage: Eukaryota; Metazoa; Chordata; Actinopteri; Perciformes; Gasterosteidae.